GCCGUGAUCUAUAGUGGUUAGUACUCUGCGUUGUGGCCGCAGCGCACAGGUUCGAAUCCGGUCACGGCA
Molecule: transfer RNA, 69 nt
Filed under: Ameiurus melas (black bullhead)
Lineage: Eukaryota; Metazoa; Chordata; Actinopteri; Siluriformes; Ictaluridae
Description: tRNA-His
Source: RNAcentral